CGCCUCCUGCAAACCCCUAUGUAUAGGAGGUCCAGCCUGCCCAGUGACCACAAGUUUAACGGCCGCGGUAUUUUGACCGUGCAAAGGUAGCGCAAUCACUUGUCUUUUAAAUGAAGACCUGUAUGAAUGGCCAAACGAGGGCUUAGCUGUCUCCCCUGUCAUGUCAGUGAAAUUGAUCUGCCCGUGCAGAAGCGGACAUAACUCUACAAGACGAGAAGACCCUUUGGAGCUUAAGGUACAAACCUCACCUACGUCAAACACUUCCUCAACAAGUUUAAACCUAGUAGAACAUGAAGUUUUACCUUCGGUUGGGGCGACCAUGGAGAAAAAGAGAUCCUCCAAGUGGAAUGGUUACAAACCUAAAACCAAGAAAGACAUUUCCAAGUCACAGAAAAUCUGACCAAUCAUGAUCCGGCCCAAGCCGAUCAACGAACCAAGUUACCCUAGGGAUAACAGCGCAAUCCCCUCUAAGAGUCCAUAUCGACGAGAGGGUUUACGACCUCGAUGUUGGAUCAGGACAUCCUAAUGGUGCAGCCGCUAUUAAGGGUUCGUUUGUUCAACGAUUAAAGUCCU
This 573-nucleotide ribosomal RNA is filed under the name Acanthocobitis botia (mottled loach). Its description in RNAcentral is "partial 16S ribosomal RNA". It matches the Rfam family "Bacterial large subunit ribosomal RNA", at positions 1816 to 2597 of the family's 2925-position model. Lineage: Eukaryota; Metazoa; Chordata; Actinopteri; Cypriniformes; Nemacheilidae. The record is from RNAcentral.